This 399-nucleotide ribosomal RNA is filed under the name uncultured bacterium. RNAcentral describes it as "partial 16S ribosomal RNA". It matches the Rfam family "Bacterial small subunit ribosomal RNA", at positions 360 to 776 of the family's 1533-position model. The record is from RNAcentral.
AAUAUUGCACAAUGGGGGAAAACCUGAUGCAGCGACGCCGCGUGAGUGAAGAAGUAUUUCGGUAUGUAAAGCUCUAUCAGCAGGGAAGAUACUGACGGUACCUAACUAAGAAGCCACGGCUAACUACGUGCCAGCAGCCGCGGUAAUACGUAGGGGGCAAGCGUUAUUCGGGUUUACUGGGUGUAAAGGGCGCGUAGGUGGUUCGGUAAGUCAGAUGUGAAAGCCCGGGGCUCAACCCCGGGACUGCAUUUGAAACUAUCGAACUAGAGUGUAGGAGAGGUAAGUGGAAUUCCUAGUGUAGCGGUGAAAUGCGUAGAUAUUAGGAGGAACACCAGUGGCGAAGGCGGCUUACUGGACUAUAACUGACACUGAGGCUCGAAAGCGUGGGGAGCAAACAGG